Molecule: ribosomal RNA, 424 nt
Filed under: Rhodococcus qingshengii
Lineage: Bacteria; Bacillati; Actinomycetota; Actinomycetes; Mycobacteriales; Nocardiaceae
Description: bacterial SSU rRNA
Rfam family: Bacterial small subunit ribosomal RNA
Source: RNAcentral
GGCAUUACAUGGGCGAGCCUGAUGCAGCGACGCCGCGUGAGGGAUGACGGCCUUCGGGUUGUAAACCUCUUUCAGCAGGGACGAAGCGCAAGUGACGGUACCUGCAGAAGAAGCACCGGCUAACUACGUGCCAGCAGCCGCGGUAAUACGUAGGGUGCAAGCGUUGUCCGGAAUUACUGGGCGUAAAGAGUUCGUAGGCGGUUUGUCGCGUCGUUUGUGAAAACCAGCAGCUCAACUGCUGGCUUGCAGGCGAUACGGGCAGACUUGAGUACUGCAGGGGAGACUGGAAUUCCUGGUGUAGCGGUGAAAUGCGCAGAUAUCAGGAGGAACACCGGUGGCGAAGGCGGGUCUCUGGGCAGUAACUGACGCUGAGGAACGAAAGCGUGGGUAGCGAACAGGAUUAGAUACCUGGGGUAGUCCAAAA